GCAUUACGCCCAGCGGGCGGAAUUUCUUCUCUGAGUUGCACAAGCAAAAACAAAUGAAUCAAAACUUUCAACAACGGAUCUCUUGGUUCUGGCAUCGAUGAAGAACGCAGCGAAAUGCGAUAAGUAAUGUGAAUUGCAGAAUUCAGUGAAUCAUCGAAUCUUUGAACGCACAUUGCGCCCGCCAGCAUUCUGGCGGGCAUGCCUGUUCGAGCGUCAUUUCAACCCUCGAGCCCCCCCCGGGGGCCUCGGUGUUGGGGGACGGCACACCAGCCGCCCCCGAAAUGCAGUGGCGACCCCGCCGCAGCCUCCCCUGCGUAGUAGCACACACCUCGCACCGGAGCGCGGAGGCGGUCACGCCGUAAAACGCCCAACUUUCUUAAAGUUGACCUCGAAUCAGGUAGGAAUACCCGCUGAACUUAAGCAUAUC
RNAcentral lists this ribosomal RNA (427 nucleotides) under Purpureocillium lilacinum. RNAcentral describes it as "eukaryotic LSU rRNA". The stretch from base 63 to 216 matches the Rfam family "5.8S ribosomal RNA". The record is from RNAcentral. Lineage: Eukaryota; Fungi; Ascomycota; Sordariomycetes; Hypocreales; Ophiocordycipitaceae.